UAUGCCCCUGGCAAGCUACUGGCUGCAGAGAUAAGUUAAAAUGUCCACCUGCUUCUCUGAGCCUACCCUCCUCCAUUGCUCCAGCAGCACAGGCAACACUUCAUGUGCGGCAAAAGUUUAAAAGCAUGCGUUAAAAGUAAUUCGAUAAGUUACAUGAUAGCUUAGGAAGAGAUCACGGAUAUUUUCAGCCAAUCAAUUAGCAAUCAGUGGUUUUUAGAACAAUUGAAUAGAAGAGUAGCAAGGCACUUAUUCUGGUAGCCUUUAAAAAGUGCUGUUAAAAGUCUAAUAUCCAAACCAAAGUGAAGUCUCCCAUUUAGAUUGUUAGUAUAAGGAAAGCCUUCCUGAAUUGCAAUUCAUCACCAAAGGCUCUCAGCCCUGGUGGCAUCCUUGCUGUCUUAUUCUAGAAUAUAUUGCAAUAAAAAUGUCUAAGGGGAACUUUCAUGGAGCAACACCCCAGCUAAAGAGGUCCUAUGAGAGUUUAGAAAAAAUUGAUUAGUUUAGCAUUUGCUUUAUCUC
RNAcentral lists this long non-coding RNA (516 nucleotides) under Bos taurus (domestic cattle). RNAcentral's name for it is "long non-coding RNA NONBTAT001319". Lineage: Eukaryota; Metazoa; Chordata; Mammalia; Artiodactyla; Bovidae. The record is from RNAcentral.